RNAcentral lists this long non-coding RNA (6673 nucleotides) under Homo sapiens (human). RNAcentral's name for it is "HSALNT0322738". The record is from RNAcentral. Lineage: Eukaryota; Metazoa; Chordata; Mammalia; Primates; Hominidae.
CAGGGUUUGUGAGGGGGAGAGAGGUGAGAUGUGGAUUGCAAGAAGUAGUCUGUGGCCGAUUAUAUCAGGCUUUGGAGGUUUUUUAUAAGGAUCUGGCUUUUAUCCUAAAUAAGCUAGGGAGCCAAUGAAGGGUUUUGAGCAGAGAAGUGUCAUGAUCUAAAUCAUAUGUUUAAAGCAUCAGACUGGCUGCUGUGUUGAGAAUAAACUGGUGGGCUAAGGCAGCAGGAGGGAGACCAGCUAGGAGGUGAUUGCAGGAAGUCAAGCAAGUGAUAAUGGGCUUGUACCCAGCUAGUGGGGUUCCAGUUAGUGAUGUUGAAAGUGUUGAAAAGUGUUCCGUUUCUGCUUUUUUUUAAAUGUGAAACCAACAGGACAUGCCAGUGAUUAUAAAGCAUAUGAUGAUGAUAUAGGAUAAAGGAAGAGAGGAGUUAAUUAAAUAUGACACUGAUGUUUUUAUCCUGAACAAAUGGAAGGAAGGAAUUGCUGAAAUAGAGACGUCUCUGAAGAGCAGAAGCUGUUUUGAACAUUGCAGUUUGAAAUACCUAUUAGACCUCUGCUUGGAGAUCCCAAACAGGAAAAAUCAGUGGUUAUGGUCAGAAAGUGGGAAGCUUGAAGUUGAGAUUAUCAAGUUAAUAUCAGUGCAGUCAUUGGUAAUGAUAAGUUCUAGGAUCUAAGCAAUGGGAAGAAAGAAGUUGGCUGAAGAAAUGAUGGAAAUUAAUUAUAUAAUUGAAGAAAAAGAAGUCAAGGCACUGAGAGCAUGUUCAGUUGGCAGAAAUUCCAUGACAGCAUCUACAAGGGCAUAUUGGAGAGAGUGAGGCCCCAGCCUGCAUCCCUUUCUACAGAAGUAACAACAAUUUCCAGUUUCUGAGCCUUUCCAGGGUUGUACAGUAGGUAUUCAUUUGCUUUUUGAUAUUUUCCACAGCAAAGCAAACUUUCUUGCUGCUCUGUUAACUUCGUUACCACUCACCCGUCUGCCUUCUGUCUUCCAACAUUUUGUUGCUAGCUCUUGUCUGCUGUUGCCUCUUCUGUUCUCUUUAUCCUUCCAGGUUUUAUAAGAUUGUUUUUAUUCCUUUUCAGUCAUUUCAGAGAGGCUUCAGGAUGGAGUUGUGAUAAACGCAUGUGUUCAGUCUACAAUGUUUAACAGGGAGUGCCUCUUGAUUUUUUCAUGUGAAUUACUGAGGAGUAGGUAGUAGACUAUCUUGAUGCCCUUCCUCAUGUCCCUUUGACUCUGAGUUGACCUGCAGCUGCAGUGAACACUUCCUAAGGAUGCUGAUGUCUUCCCCUAUCAAGCACUUGCCUCAUUCUGCUUCUCCGAGGAUUUCCUCCAGUACACCAAGAGCUUGCCCGACACUCACAAGGUAUCCUGGAACUGCUGGGGACUGAAAACCCCUCAACCCAUGAAGAAUGAGGAUCAGUGGAUUAAUAGCAACUGUCCCAUACCUUGGUGGGACUAUUAUAAGGCAUUCUGGUUGGUUCCUCAGAGGUCCCAAAUGGGAUUGAACCAAAGUUGCCCACAGUAAAAACUCAUUCACCAACUCAAUUUUCAUUUCACCCCUCUCAAUUUGCACACUCACUCACUUGUUCUACCUGGGAUACUCUCCAAGAUAAACUCCUGUAUCCAAAGCUUUGUCUCAAGGUCUCAUUUGGGAGGAACUCAAACUAAGAUAAUAGGUACUGGAAGUGACUACAGAAAGUAUAUUAUCAAUGGUAUGGAGGCAACAAAAACCCCAUUAAUGGUGGUGAGUAAGGUGGUGACAAACCCUGGCACUUUGAAGAAUUUCAUUACCCACAAUUGACCCAUGGUGUACUUGGAUGAGGUAAAAAUGAAAGGAGACGCUAACCUUAUGCAAUAGUGCUAACUCCUGAAAGAUAUAGGGCUGUGAUAAUCACAGGAAUUGAAGAGUUGUCUUGUUCUUGUUAACUCCCCUAGAAGAAUUGGGAAAAAAGAAAGAUAGGUUUACAACAUCCAACUACCCAUUCAGAGCAUAGCAAUGAAAGCCAGAAGGUCUCCUUGGGAGAAUCUGAAGAGACCCCCAUUUCCUGCAACCAGAGGGCAGGCUGUUCUAAAAAAAUGACAUUCAGGGGUUCACUGCAAGAGGAAUUGAACUACAGAGCAGACUGAAGACACAGUCCAGGCAGGCCUCUCAUGCAAAAGUCAAAGCCCUAGAGGAAGGAAAUGGUCCUUAAAAACUACUGGGAUGCAGGCAGGCAUCUGGAUAGAUGUGCUAGAUAACCUUGAACCCCUAGAUUCCCUGAACAACCCAGGCUAGCAGGAGUAUCCUGCACCCUGUUACUUGAACAGAACAGCUUCCCUUUGCCUAGAGACUCUACACAGUCCUCCUCUGAAGCAGACACCUCCAAGAUUACUUCAAGGUCUGCUACUUCCUGCCCUCAUUGCCUCUAUUCCAAAAACUGGAAACAAGUCUCAGCAUGCCCUGAGCAGGGUAGCACAUUUCUUGCUGUGAGAGAUAUGACAGAUUGUAUUUUCUAAAGAAGGCUGCAACCAUGUCUCUCAUCCCAAAUGCUCUUCUACAAUGCAAUCUUGUCACUCCUCUACCAAGAGAUGAAACCUAAUUUCAAUGCCCUUGAAUCUAAGCUGGACUUUACUUGCUUUGACCUGUAAUGUACAGAAGUGACACUGUGUGAUUCUUACAGCUGAGUCAUAAAAGGUGAUGCAGCUUCUGCCUUGUUCCUGGGGACAUAUGCCUCUGUGAGAUUGAGCUACUAAAUAACAAGACCACCUACCUUGAGGCUGCCAUGCUGGAAGAAAGCAAAGCCACAUGAAGAGCAAGUAAGCUGGUUGCUUUAGCAAGAUCCUUCAUAUUGAUAGUGAAUGUGCACUUCUGUCUUUCUCUUGUGAAUGCAAACCACUUUUUCAAUAGUCUCACGUUAAGUGCCAAAGAUUGUUGUUUUUGUUGAAUGCAUUCUCUUUAUCAUUCACUACCUGGCCCUAGGAAUUUGUUCAAUGAUCCUCAUUUCUGUUACAAUAUAGUCUUCAGUGACCUUGAUCAUCUUCACAUUCUAUAGAACAUCAUCCUGGCCCAUUAUAUUAAUGACAGAAUAAUAAUUGAACUUGGUUUUUAGGAAGGAGCAAGUAUACUGGUUUUAAAUACUUCAUGCUGAAGGAAUGAGAGAUAAGCCCUACAAAGUUUUGGAAGUCUGCCACAUCAGGGAAUAUUUUAGGGGCCCAAAGAUCCAGGGGUAUGUUGAGACACCCUACUCAAAAGAAUACUUUACAUUUCCUACCACUAAGACAGAGGCACAGCACUUGGUGAGCUGCUUUGAAUUCCUGAGGCAAAAAAAUAACAAUAAUAAAUACUACCCAUGAGAAUAAUGCUCUGAUCUAUUGUAUCAGAAGACUAUUGACUUUGCGGGGGUCUGAGAGAGUAUCUGAAUAGCCUUUUAAAGACUUAAAAAGGCAUUGGCUUAGGAAUUGCACCUUGCAUGGCUAGGUCAUUGUCCUCGAGGAUACAGCAUAUUUGUUGAACCAGUGAUCACUAUAUGCAAUCACUGUGCUGUUUUCCCAGCAUUUGGAAUACACAGGAAUGAUAAUUAAAGGAUACAAGUAGGACUGACUUAAACACACUCCCUUUCACCCAUUAGUGGAAAUUAUGUUUUUAAUUCUUACAACUUUAGGCUCUUCCUGAUUAAAAGCCUUGGUCUCAAGGUGUGUGUACAGACGGAGACAGUAAGUGUUCCACUGCAUCAAUGCAGUGCCAUCUGAGGAUUUGGGCAUCUCCAUACUGACAGGUCAGCAGGCAAAAAUGGGAGUACUAUACUGGCAGGGACACCUGACUGAUUAUCUUGAAGAGUCGGAGUUGCUGCUACAUAAUGGGCCCAGGGAGGAAGAUGUCUAGAACUUGGGGGAAUCACUCAGGCCCCCCUUAGUGCUUCUUUGUCUGGCGAUAAUAGCAGAGAAGCAAUUGAAGUAGCCAUGUCCUCACAAGGGCAAGGUAAUCAAGGCCCAGCCACUCAGAGAUGAAGGUCUGGUCAUACACUGAGCAAGCAAUGAUGACUAGUGGAAGUGCUAGCCAAGGAUUCGGGAAAUCUAGAAGAAGUGGAAUUGGAGAGAGAUGAUGAGUAUAGAUUAUAGCCUUGGGACCAGCUGCAGCAGUGAAGAUUGUGACUUGUUCCACAUAUUCUUCUAUUUUCAGUCAUUUUUGGAGAUUGCAGCCAGCUACAACUCUGAAAUGUCAGUAACAGAGCAAACUAAGGGUGGGCAUGAGAGGAUCUGCUGAGAGCAAGGAAUGAACAUGGUAGUCACUAAUGAUACACUGCCCAUGUUCCCCGGCUCACCUGUUAGCUCCCCGGCAGCUUGCAAACAUGUCUAUACACACUGCCAUCUUCCUACCACGAGUGCCAUAACUCUCUGCUUCUCUGCUGAGGCCCUUCUCAGCUCACAGUGCGAGUAGCCUGCAAGUGCUAAGGGCAUAAUGCCUCCAAGGUCAACUUUAAUCAACGAGGUUCAAGAGUCAGAAGAGUGAAUUCCUUCUGAGAUACAUUCUUUCUGGUUUCUCAGAGGCUCCCCAGAGGAAGUAGGCCCCAGUUGCUUAGGAAAAAUGGAACCUACUUAUUAAGGCACCCCCUUUUUACUUUUCUCCUUUCUUUCUCUCCCUUUCCCCACUCCAUUCCGUGAAGUUCCUGGGAUCACCAAAUAAACUAUCUGUAAUCAAAUCUUUAUCUCACUCUGCAUUCUGGGGAACCCAAACAAAGAUGGUAAGUUUGCCUAUCUACAUUUAUGUCUUAUUUGCUACAAGUAUUACUGGUAAUUUUCUUGACAAAAGUAAUAUGAUAUCUGCUGAUAGGCCAAAAUAAUACAUAUUUAUAGUGAUAACUGCAGCAAAAAUGUGAAAACCAAUUUUAAAAAGUUAUUUUCACUAGUUUAAGAAAAAUGAAGAAAUUGAACUUUUAAAAAAUGCAGUAAUACCUCCUAACACAUUAUGAAGAGGAAUAUUUUCAUAACUGUAGAAAUGGUUGGUAAGGCUGUCAACUAUCCAAGGAUUAUAUUGAAAUAGCUGUCAUUGGCCAACUACUAUGACUAAUGAAAUCAACAUUUUCACCAUGCAGGCAAAAUAAACGUCAUGAGUCAAAUUUAAGAGGUAUUUCUUUUUUUCUUUAAAAGUUGUUGAACUAUCCAGGUUACUCAACCCUCAGUUUUUCAUUUUACAACAGAGUUUUCACAUACACAAAUACACAUACACACACAUUUGCAUUCAGACAUAUUCAGACAUACAUGCACACAUCUUUUAGCAUUUUAAAUAUUUUCAAAGUGUAGCUCUACAGACUCAUGCAUUUUAACUUUGGUAAUGCAUGCAGUAUUCCCUUUGGAAUGCAGCUUAUGAAGAAAUCCACGCUGGGGGCAAGUAUAUAGUAAUUCUUUCUUUAUCUCCUGCAUAUAUUAGGAAACCCUCCAGGAGGGUUAUUACUAAGACAAAUUUAGAAAGACCUCCACAUUCACAGAGACAAAAAUAUCAGCGGCAUCCUGAAAAAGCCAAUGAGUGAUCAAAAAUCAGAAAUAAACAAGCUUUGCUCAUUUUAAGCCAUAUAAAUAUUUGUUGAAUAAAUCCUGUUUUGUUUUCACUUUUGAUGGGAUGUUAGUUUGUGAAAUCAAAUGAUACCCAGAUUCUUUCUUCCCAUAGGUUUAUAAAUACCCAAAUAUGGCAUAUUUGACUCCAUAUACAGGCUUUGUUGAACAUGGAUUGUUUUUGUCUACCUUUCUCCAUUUCAAUCACAUGGUUCUAGUGUGAACUUCUAAUUAUGGACCCCUGAUCUCUCUGUUCCAGUCAAAGGGCAGGAAUGUGGUUAAUUACCAUGCAUCAUGCACUGUCUUUAGUGAUUAUUCUAAGAGGCUAUGAAAGGUAAACCAAUCAGAGGCCUUCACCAGGAUUCUGAAGUGGAGCUCCACAAGGAAGAAGAGCUUUCUUUGUUAAUGAUGAUGUCUGGAAGCAGCCAUGUAACUCCACCCCAUGGAGACAGCUGGUAUAGAAGAAUGAAGCCAAAUUGUAGGGACAGGUGAUACCAAGUGUAAGGUCCUCAGUUCUAGAGUUGGAGAAUCCCACUGCCCAACUCUGUGCACCCUGUCUUCUGGGGUUUGGUUGUUCCCUUCACAAGCUUUCUGGGAGCACCUAUUGUAUCUCUCCCCGUAUUCCUCCAUGGAGCUCAAAGUAAGCCACCUUGGGUUUCCACUGUUUACAACCAAGAGCUCUGAUAUAUGUGCUGCAUUUACUUUUGCUGUUUUAUCAAAUACUUACAAACUCAACUGCUUAAUUAGGCAAAGCAUUCUAUUGCUUUUCCUUUUUGAUAUCUCAGUAAUUGAUUUCUAAGGAAGAGAGGGCAUCUUGCUGGGAUUGUUUUCACCUAUUGCUCUUUUGCCCAGCCUCACCCAGCUCAGAUAUUGACUAAAGCCGUUCAACUCAGCUGGUCUGGCUACAGAGUACAGGGGUAGGUGCGCACCAUGGCUCAGGUGCAAUAACGACUGUAGCUUCCCAAAUUGUAAUGUCAGGUUACCAAUGUCGAGACGAAUUGGGAUUGCCUAAGUGAUUCCCUGGGUACACUCACCUUUUUACCCAAUGAUAAAAACGAGAGAUCUCAACAAAAUAGCUCUUAUCUAUUAUGCUGCAGACUGACAAUUCUUUUUUUUGUUUGUUUGUUUUUUUGAAGACAGAGUCUCACUCUG